UACACUCCUGCGGGAGGCAGCAGUGGGGAAUUUUGGACAAUGGGCGAAAGCCUGAUCCAGCCAUGCCGCGUGCAGGAUGAAGGCCUUCGGGUUGUAAACUGCUUUUGUACGGAACGAAACGGCCUUUUCUAAUAAAGAGGGCUAAUGACGGUACCGUAAGAAUAAGCACCGGCUAACUACGUGCCAGCAGCCGCGGUAAUACGUAGGGUGCAAGCGUUAAUCGGAAUUACUGGGCGUAAAGCGUGCGCAGGCGGUUAUGUAAGACAGUUGUGAAAUCCCCGGGCUCAACCUGGGAACUGCAUCUGUGACUGCAUAGCUAGAGUACGGUAGAGGGGGAUGGAAUUCCGCGUGUAGCAGUGAAAUGCGUAGAUAUGCGGAGGAACACCGAUGGCGAAGGCAAUCCCCUGGACCUGUACUAACGCUCAUGCACGAAAGCGUGGGGAGCAAACAGGAUUAGAAACCCUAGUAGUCCCA
Molecule: ribosomal RNA, 474 nt
Filed under: uncultured organism
Description: partial 16S ribosomal RNA
Rfam family: Bacterial small subunit ribosomal RNA
Source: RNAcentral